CAGUAGCCGCGGGAAUACAGAGGGUGCGAGCGUUAAUCGGAUUUACUGGGCGUAAAGCGUGCGUAGGCGGCUUCUUAAGUCGGAUGUGAAAUCCCUGAGCUUAACUUAGGAAUUGCAUUCGAUACUGGGAAGCUAGAGUAUGGGAGAGGAUGGUAGAAUUCCAGGUGUCGCGGUGAAAUGCGUAGAGAUCUGGAGGAAUACCGAUGGCGAAGGCAGCCAUCUGGCCUAAUACUGACGCUGAGGUACGAAAGCAUGGGGAGCAAACAGGAUUAGAUACCCCCGUAGUCCCUGUCUCUUAUAC
This 301-nucleotide ribosomal RNA is filed under the name uncultured bacterium. Its description in RNAcentral is "partial 16S ribosomal RNA". It matches the Rfam family "Bacterial small subunit ribosomal RNA", at positions 509 to 807 of the family's 1533-position model. The record is from RNAcentral.